AGAGUUUGAUCAUGGCUCAGGAUGAACGCUGGCGGCGUGCCUAAUACAUGCAAGUCGAGCGAACUGAUUAGAAGCUUGCUUCUAUGACGUUAGCGGCGGACGGGUGAGUAACACGUGGGCAACCUGCCUGUAAGACUGGGAUAACUUCGGGAAACCGAAGCUAAUACCGGAUAGGAUCUUCUCCUUCAUGGGAGAUGAUUGAAAGAUGGUUUCGGCUAUUACUUACAGAUGGGCCCGCGGUGCAUUAGCUAGGUGGUGAGGUAACGGCUCACCAAGGCAACGAUGCAUAGCCGACCUGAGAGGGUGAUCGGCCACACUGGGACUGAGACACGGCCCAGACUCCUACGGGAGGCAGCAGUAGGGAAUCUUCCGCAAUGGACGAAAGUCUGACGGAGCAACGCCGCGUGAGUGAUGAAGGCUUUCGGGUCGUAAAACUCUGUUGUUAGGGAAGAACAAGUACAAGAGUAACUGCUUGUACCUUGACGGUACCUAACCAGAAAGCCACAGCUAACUACGUGCCAGCAGCCGCGGUAAUACGUAGGUGGCAAGCGUUAUCCGGAAUUAUUGGGCGUAAAGCGCGCGCAGGCGGUUUCUUAAGUCUGAUGUGAAAGCCCACGGCUC
RNAcentral lists this ribosomal RNA (621 nucleotides) under uncultured marine bacterium. Its description in RNAcentral is "bacterial SSU rRNA". It matches the Rfam family "Bacterial small subunit ribosomal RNA", at positions 8 to 610 of the family's 1533-position model. The record is from RNAcentral.